Molecule: ribosomal RNA, 466 nt
Filed under: uncultured bacterium
Lineage: Bacteria
Description: SSU rRNA
Rfam family: Bacterial small subunit ribosomal RNA
Source: RNAcentral
AGGAUGAACGCUGGCGGCGUGCCUAACACAUGCAAGUCGAACGAGGGGGGCAACCCCCGAGUGGCAGACGGGUGAGUAACGCGUGGUCAACCUACCCUAGAGUGGGGAAUAACUAGCCGAAAGGUUAGCUAAUACCGCAUGAUACGUUUUGGGACAUCCCAGGACGUUGAAAGGAGCAAUCCGCUCGAGGACGGGACCGCGUCCGAUUAGCUAGUUGGUGAGGUAACGGCCCACCAAGGCUCCGAUCGGUAGCUGGUUUGAGAGAGCGACCAGCCACACUGGGACUGAGAAACGGCCCAGACUCCUACGGGAGGCAGCAGUGAGGAAUUUUCCGCAAUGGGCGAAAGCCUGACGGAGCGACGCCGCGUGUGGGAAGAAGGCCUUCGGGUCGUAAACCACUGUCGAAGGGGACUAUACUGAAGGUACCCUUGGAGGAAGCCCCGGCUAACUACGUGCCAGCAGCCGC